This 451-nucleotide ribosomal RNA is filed under the name uncultured bacterium. RNAcentral's name for it is "partial 16S ribosomal RNA". It matches the Rfam family "Bacterial small subunit ribosomal RNA", at positions 28 to 507 of the family's 1533-position model. The record is from RNAcentral.
GAUGAACGCUGGCGGCGUGCCUAACACAUGCAAGUCGAGCGGCAGCGCGGGGUGCUUGCACCCUGUCGGCGAGCGGCGGACGGCUGAGUAACGCGUGGGAACGUGCCCCAAAGUGAGGAAUAACUGCGCGAAAGGGUAGCUAAUACCGCAUAUUAUCUUCGGAUCAAAGGAUUUAUCCGCUUUGGGAGCGGCUCGCGUCGGAUUAGGUAGUUGGUGAGGUAAUGGCUCACCAAGCCGACGAUCCGUAGCUGGUCUGAGAGGAUGACCAGCCAGACUGGAACUGAGACACGGUCCAGAAUCCUACGGGAGGCAGCAGUGAGGAAUCUUCCACAAUGGGCGAAAGCCUGAUGGAGCAACGCCGCGUGCAAGACGAAGGCCUUCGGGUUGUAAACUGCUUUUAUAAGUGAGGAAUAUGACGGUAACUUAUGAAUAAGGAUCGGUUAACUACGUG